UGGGUGACCUGCCCUCAGCUCUGGGAUAAGCCUGGGAAACUGGAUCUAAUACUGGAUAUUCACUUCUCAUCGCAUGGUGGGUGGUGGAAAGUUUUUCGGCUGGGGAUGGGCCCGCGGCCUAUCAGCUUGUUGGUGGGGUAGUGGCCUACCAAGGCGACGACGGGUAGCCGGCUGAGAGGGUGACCGGCCACACUGGGACUGAGACACGGCCCAGACCUCCGUACGGGAG
RNAcentral lists this ribosomal RNA (229 nucleotides) under uncultured bacterium. RNAcentral's name for it is "partial 16S ribosomal RNA". It matches the Rfam family "Bacterial small subunit ribosomal RNA", at positions 118 to 347 of the family's 1533-position model. The record is from RNAcentral.